UAAGAGCGAAUGGUGGAUGCCUUGACUGGUAAAGGCGAUGAAGGACGUACUAGACUGCGAUAAGCUACGGGGAGCUGUCAAGAAGCUUUGAUCCGUAGAUUUCCGAAUGGGGCAACCCAAUGUAUAGAGAUAUACAUUACCUAUAUAGGAGCGAACGAGGGGAAUUGAAACAUCUUAGUACCCUCAGGAAAAGAAAUCAAUAGAGAUUGCGUCAGUAGCGGCGAGCGAAAGCGCAAGAGGGCAAACCCAGUGCUUGCACUGGGGGUUGUAGGACUGCAAUGUGCAAGAGGUGAGUUUAGCAGAACAUUCUGGAAAGUAUAGCCAUAGAGGGUGAUAGUCCCGUAUGCGAAAAACAAACCUUAGCUAGCAGUAUCCUGAGUAGGGCGGGACACGAGAAAUCCUGUCUGAAGCUGGGUCGACCACGAUCCAACCCUAAAUACUAAUACCAGAUCGAUAGUGCACAAGUACCGUGAGGGAAAGGUGAAAAGAACUGAGGUGAUCAGAGUGAAAUAGAACCUGAAACCAUUUGCUUACAAUCAUUCAGAGCCCUAUGUAGCAAUACAGGGUGAUGGACUGCCUUUUGCAUAAUGAGCCUGCGAGUUGUGGUGUCUGGCAAGGUUAAGCAAACGCGAAGCCGUAGCGAAAGCGAGUCUGAAUAGGGCGCUUAGUCAGAUGCUGCAGACCCGAAACGAAGUGAUCUAUCCAUGAGCAAGUUGAAGCUAGUGUAAGAACUAGUGGAGGACUGAACCCAUAGGCGUUGAAAAGCCCCGGGAUGACUUGUGGAUAGGGGUGAAAGGCCAAUCAAACUUCGUGAUAGCUGGUUCUCUCCGAAAUAUAUUUAGGUAUAGCGUUGUGUCGUAAUAUAAGGGGGUAGAGCACUGAAUGGGCUAGGGCAUACACCAAUGUACCAAACCCUAUCAAACUCCGAAUACCUUAUAUGUAAUCACAGCAGUCAGGCGGCGAGUGAUAAAAUCCGUCGUCAAGAGGGAAACAACCCAGACUACCAGCUAAGGUCCCUAAAUCUUACUUAAGUGGAAAACGAUGUGAAGUUACUUAAACAACCAGGAGGUUGGCUUAGAAGCAGCCAUCCUUUAAAGAAAGCGUAAUAGCUCACUGGUCUAGUGAUUUUGCGCGGAAAAUAUAACGGGGCUAAAGUAAGUACCGAAGCUGUAGACUUGCACACAACUUAGAUUAUUUAAGUUUAGAAUAUGAGAAACUAAGUUAUAUGUUUAGUUAUAUUUUUACUGAUUUUUAUAGAGUAAAGAUAGAAAUAAAACUUAGUAAAAUCAGUAAAAAUAUUCUUAGACUAAAGUUAAGUAGUUUAAGUUGUGUGCAAGUGGUAGGAGAGCGUUCUAUUUGCGUCGAAGGUAUACCGGUAAGGAGUGCUGGAGCGAAUAGAAGUGAGCAUGCAGGCAUGAGUAGCGAUAAUUAAUGUGAGAAUCAUUAACGCCGUAAACCCAAGGUUUCCUACGCGAUGCUCGUCAUCGUAGGGUUAGUCGGGUCCUAAGUCGAGUCCGAAAGGGGUAGACGAUGGCAAAUUGGUUAAUAUUCCAAUACCAACAUUAGUGUGCGAUGGAAGGACGCUUAGGGCUAAGGGGGCUAGCGGAUGGAAGUGCUAGUCUAAGGUCGUAGGAGGUUAUACAGGCAAAUCCGUAUAACAAUACUCCGAGAACUGAAAGGCUUUUUGAAGUCUUCGGAUGGAUAGAAGAACCCCUGAUGCCGUCGAGCCAAGAAAAGUUUCUAAGUUUAGCUAAUGUUGCCCGUACCGUAAACCGACACAGGUGGGUGGGAUGAGUAUUCUAAGGCGCGUGGAAGAACUCUCUUUAAGGAACUCUGCAAAAUAGCACCGUAUCUUCGGUAUAAGGUGUGGUUAGCUUUGUAUUAGGAUUUACUCCGAAAGCAAGGAAACUUACAACAAAGAGUCCCUCCCGACUGUUUACCAAAAACACAGCACUCUGCUAACUCGUAAGAGGAUGUAUAGGGUGUGACGCCUGCCCGGUGCUCGAAGGUUAAUUGAUGGGGUUAGCAUUAGCGAAGCUCUUGAUCGAAGCCCGAGUAAACGGCGGCCGUAACUAUAACGGUCCUAAGGUAGCGAAAUUCCUUGUCGGUUAAAUACCGACCUGCAUGAAUGGCGUAACGAGAUGGGAGCUGUCUCAAAGAGGGAUCCAGUGAAAUUGUAGUGGAGGUGAAAAUUCCUCCUACCCGCGGCAAGACGGAAAGACCCCGUGGACCUUUACUACAGCUUGACACUGCUAUUUGGAUAAGAAUGUGCAGGAUAGGUGGGAGGCUUUGAGUAUAUGACGCCAGUUGUAUAUGAGCCAUUGUUGAGAUACCACUCUUUCUUAUUUGGGUAGCUAACCAGCUUGAGUUAUCCUCAAGUGGGACAAUGUCUGGUGGGUAGUUUGACUGGGGCGGUCGCCUCCCAAAUAAUAACGGAGGCUUACAAAGGUUGGCUCAGAACGGUUGGAAAUCGUUCGUAGAGUAUAAAGGUAUAAGCCAGCUUAACUGCAAGACAUACAAGUCAAGCAGAGACGAAAGUCGGUCUUAGUGAUCCGGUGGUUCUGUGUGGAAGGGCCAUCGCUCAAAGGAUAAAAGGUACCCCGGGGAUAACAGGCUGAUCUCCCCCAAGAGCUCACAUCGACGGGGAGGUUUGGCACCUCGAUGUCGGCUCAUCGCAUCCUGGGGCUGGAGCAGGUCCCAAGGGUAUGGCUGUUCGCCAUUUAAAGCGGUACGCGAGCUGGGUUCAGAACGUCGUGAGACAGUUCGGUCCCUAUCUGCCGUGGGCGUAAGAAGAUUGAAGAGAUUUGACCCUAGUACGAGAGGACCGGGUUGAACAAACCACUGGUGUAGCUGUUGUUCUGCCAAGAGCAUCGCAGCGUAGCUAAGUUUGGAAAGGAUAAACGCUGAAAGCAUCUAAGCGUGAAGCCAACUCUAAGAUGAAUCUUCUCUAAGCUCUCUAGAAGACUACUAGUUUGAUAGGCUGGGUGUGUAAUGGAUGAAAGUCCUUUAGCUGACCAGUACUAAUAGAGCGUUUGGCUUAUCUUUAAUAAAGCAU
RNAcentral lists this ribosomal RNA (3055 nucleotides) under Campylobacter jejuni. RNAcentral describes it as "partial 23S ribosomal RNA". It matches the Rfam family "Bacterial large subunit ribosomal RNA". The record is from RNAcentral. Lineage: Bacteria; Pseudomonadati; Campylobacterota; Epsilonproteobacteria; Campylobacterales; Campylobacteraceae.